This 326-nucleotide ribosomal RNA is filed under the name uncultured Gammaproteobacteria bacterium. RNAcentral's name for it is "bacterial SSU rRNA". It matches the Rfam family "Bacterial small subunit ribosomal RNA", at positions 9 to 336 of the family's 1533-position model. The record is from RNAcentral. Lineage: Bacteria; Pseudomonadati; Pseudomonadota; Gammaproteobacteria.
GAGUUUGAUCUUGGCUCAGAUUGAACGCUGGCGGCAUGCCUUACACAUGCAAGUCGAACGGUAACAGGUCUUUCGGGAUGCUGACGAGUGGCGAACGGGUGAGUAAUGUCUGGGAAACUGCCCGAUGGAGGGGGAUAACUACUGGAAACGGUAGCUAAUACCGCAUAACGUCGCAAGACCAAAGAGGGGGACCUUCGGGGCCUCUUGCCAUCGGAUGUGCCCAGAUGGGAUUAGCUAGUAGGUGGGGUAACGGCUCACCUAGGCGACGAUCCCUAGCUGGUCUGAGAGGAUGACCAGCCACACUGGAACUGAGACACGGUCCAGAC